GAGCAGAUGAUGAACAAAUAGAUUUUAAAAGAUGCUGAUCAUGAGUAUCCAUGAGGCUUCAAUAAUCGAGCUUUUUAAAACUGAUGCUCA
Molecule: small nucleolar RNA, 90 nt
Organism: Hevea brasiliensis (rubber tree)
Lineage: Eukaryota; Viridiplantae; Streptophyta; Magnoliopsida; Malpighiales; Euphorbiaceae
Source: RefSeq, a predicted model, not a curated record